RNAcentral lists this ribosomal RNA (214 nucleotides) under uncultured bacterium. RNAcentral's name for it is "partial 16S ribosomal RNA". It matches the Rfam family "Bacterial small subunit ribosomal RNA", at positions 524 to 734 of the family's 1533-position model. The record is from RNAcentral.
UACGGGGGGAGCAAGCGUUGUUCGGAUUUACUGGGCGUAAAGGGCGCGUAGGCGGCCACCGCAAGUCAAUUGUGAAAUCUCCGGGCUUAACUCGGAAAGGUCAACUGAUACUGCGGGGCUAGAGUGCGGAAGGGGCAACUGGAAUUCUCGGUGUAGCGGUGAAAUGCGUAGAUAAUCGAGAGGAACACCUGCGGCGAAGGCGGGAUUGCUGGGC